UACGGAGGGUGCAAGCGUUGUUCGGAAUUACUGGGCGUAAAGCGCGCGUAGGCGGGCCAGCAAGUCGAUUGUGAAAACCCAGGGCUUAACCUUGGAAUUGCAGUCGAUACUGUUGGUCUUGAAUGCCUGAGAGGAUGGCGGAAUUCCCGGUGUAGAAGUGAAAUUCGUAGAUAUCGGGAGGAACACCUGAGGCGAAGGCGGCUGUCUGGCAGUGCAUUGACGCUGAGGCGCGAAAGCGUGGGUAGCAAACAGG
Molecule: unclassified non-coding RNA, 253 nt
Filed under: uncultured Oligoflexaceae bacterium
Lineage: Bacteria; Pseudomonadati; Bdellovibrionota; Oligoflexia; Oligoflexales; Oligoflexaceae
Description: contains 16S-23S intergenic spacer region
Rfam family: Bacterial small subunit ribosomal RNA
Source: RNAcentral